RNAcentral lists this transfer-messenger RNA (320 nucleotides) under Candidatus Poribacteria bacterium. It matches the Rfam family "transfer-messenger RNA". From Rfam's summary of the family: Bacterial tmRNA, also known as 10Sa RNA or SsrA, is named for its dual tRNA and mRNA-like properties. Its role is to liberate the mRNA from a stalled ribosome. To accomplish this part of the tmRNA is used as a reading frame that ends in a translation stop signal. Lineage: Bacteria; Candidatus Poribacteria. The record is from RNAcentral.
ACGGGGGUGAAUAAAGGUUGCAUGCCGAGGUCUCCGCAGGCCUCGUUAAACAGGCGGAAACAAUUUAAUUGCCGAUGAAGAAUUGGCUCUAGCCGCUUAAUAAAGUGGCUCGUCCGGCUAAUUUGCGGUCCCGUCGAGUUAGCCCGACGUCAACAAACGGGCUAUGCGCCUUACUUGUUCUCAAGGGGCAUGGCGCGAGAAUUAACUUGAGAUAGUCCGCUGUGAAUCCGGCAUAAGGGAGUCUUGUGGACGAAACACCAAAGCUUAUGCUAAGCAUGUAGUAGCCUUUAUUGAAAUGUUCUCGGACGCGGGUUCGAUCA